AGUUGUUUGAAUACUGAGGCAUACUCCUCAUUCCCAAAGUUCCUCAAGUAUCUCAUUCCCCAAGCCCCUCAAUGUGUCUCAUUCCCGCAGCACCUCUAGUCAUGUGUUUCAUUCCCUCCCCACCAUUGUCUCAUUCCUCCAGUCCCCCAUGUGUCUCAUUCCUCCAGUCCCCCAAUGUGUCUCAUUCUCCCUCCCAAUACCUCCAUUCAUGUGUCUCAUUGCUCCAGUGUGCCCAUGUGUCUCAUUCCCUCAGUUCCCUAUGUGUCUAAUUUCCCAAGUGUCCUUAUGUGUCUG
Molecule: non-coding RNA, 294 nt
Organism: Pelobates cultripes (western spadefoot toad)
Lineage: Eukaryota; Metazoa; Chordata; Amphibia; Anura; Pelobatidae
Source: the annotation of a GenBank genome assembly